AUACGGAGGGUCCGAGCGUUAAUCGGAAUUACUGGGCGUAAAGCGCGCGUAGGCGGCUAUAUAAGUCAGAUGUGAAAUCCCUGGGCUCAACCUAGGAACUGCAUUUGAAACUGUAUGGCUCGAGUAUGGUAGAGGUGAGUGGAAUUUCAGGUGUAGCGGUGAAAUGCGUAGAGAUCUGAAGGAACAUCAGUGGCGAAGGCGACUCACUGGGCCAUUACUGACGCUGAGGUGCGAAAGCGUGGGUAGCAAACAGGAUUAGAAACCCUAGUAGUCC
RNAcentral lists this ribosomal RNA (274 nucleotides) under uncultured bacterium. Its description in RNAcentral is "partial 16S ribosomal RNA". It matches the Rfam family "Bacterial small subunit ribosomal RNA", at positions 523 to 796 of the family's 1533-position model. The record is from RNAcentral.